GGGGCAUCGGGGUUGCGUAUGGGGGUGGGGGUUGGGGUUGGGCGUGCUUGGAGCGCCUUCCGGCUGCUGGUUUGGGAUCUGCUAGGUCGGAGGAGGCUAGGGGAGAGGGGCUAGAGAUAUUUUGGUGGCGCCUAAAGCUUAAGACAGAAGAGGCGCCCUCUUAGGGUGGCCGCGGUCGCGGAGGAGGGAGCCGCGCGGGCCUGGCCCGAGGAGGGCGCCCCGGCCCCGACCCUGGUCCCUGCCGCCGCCCCCGCUCCCGCCAAGGCCCCCGGCCACCUACCGCCUCCGCCGCGACCUCCCCUCGCUCGGUCACCUAGAGUGGUUCGUGGGGAGGCCGUAGUAGGGGUGCGAGGUCUUAUAGCACAGCUGCCAGUUGGACCUGACAUUUAACCUGGACUUUCGUUAUCGAGAGGUCCGUGCGUUACGUCUCAUAUUGGGGUUCGCAAAACGACGUCAAUAGUACGCCUAUUCUCUUGGUUUUUGAUGACGUAACUAUAAACGAAGUCCUUUUUACCAAACGUGACCUCGUUUUUCACUUGUCGUUAGAUUUGAGCGUCGAUCUUUCAUACGAGCAUAUUAGGUCUUCGAACCGAAAGGACGUUUUAAGUUCCUGAAGUUCUAGGUCUUAUAGCAACGGAGAACACUACAGUUUAAGGGAUAGUCCGAACUCCCGGAGCGUAUAAGGGUACCGCGAAAGAGUUCAAUACUCGGUCUCGAUAAAGGACCAGACUAAAUGGCCUACUCCGUCGGCUUCUAACAAGAGGAUUAAAAACAAAGACCGUUCUAACAAGACUGACCUCGUUUCCACUCUCUUCUCUGUAUGUGACGGAAGCUCUUGUAUAUAGGACAGGACUGUCUCAAGUCUUUUCACGUCGUUACUACCACUGAAACCUUCAUUCGUCUUAACCUCUAUAACAACGAACGACGGUCGAGGUUGGAGUGUUUCAGAUCCGUAUCGGACAGAAGACCACCUUUUUGGAUAUAUGUAUAUGACAGGUAGUCUAAAUCACAUGGACAACAGCAUUAGCUGAUCCCAGAAGAAAAACACUACCUAGUACCAACUAGCAGCGUCCGGAUAAGACAGUAGCAAGGAGUGAGCUUUGUGAGAACACCUUCAACUCAUUUUGGGUUCGUUUAAAACGAGGACCUAAGAUCUCGGAAAAAGAGGGCUACUACUUUUCCCGUCGACUACAUAUACAUGAACAUCUGCGCAAACGCGGGACAAUUUUCCUCCCGAAAUACAACUCGGUUUAUCGUUCUCCUUUUAAACACAAUAAAGAAAGGGAAACACAGCAGAACCAGCAGCGUAAGGACAUUCCUGUAUUGCAGAAUUUAGCCGGUAAAUUGUAAACAACUUUUUAAGACAUUACAAACGG
This 1376-nucleotide ribosomal RNA is filed under the name Triticum aestivum (bread wheat). Its description in RNAcentral is "partial small subunit ribosomal RNA". Lineage: Eukaryota; Viridiplantae; Streptophyta; Magnoliopsida; Poales; Poaceae. The record is from RNAcentral.